AGAGUUUGAUUAUGGCUCAGAUUGAACGCUGGCGGCGUGCCUAACACAUGCAAGUCGAGCGGCAGCGGGCCCGCAAGGGUGCCGGCGAGCGGCGGACGGGUGAGCAAUACAUAGGAAUCUACCUUAGAGCGGGGGAUAGCCCGGGGAAACCCGGAUUAAUACCGCAUGAUGUCGAGAGACCAAAGUGGGGGAUCGUAAGACCUCACACUCUGAGAUGAGCCUAUGUCGGAUUAGCUAGUUGGCGGGGUAACGGCCCACCAAGGCGACGAUCCGUAGCUGGUCUGAGAGGACGAUCAGCCACACCGGAACUGAGACACGGUCCGGACUCCUACGGGAGGCAGCAGUGGGGAAUAUUGGACAAUGGGCGAAGGCCUGAUCCAGCGACGCCGCGUGGGUGAAGAAGGCCUUCGGGUUGUAAAGCCCUUUAAGCCGGGACGAAAAAGCUGCACCUAACACGUGCGGCCUUGACGGUACCGGAAGAAUAAGCACCGGCUAACUCUGUGCCAGCAGCCGCGGUAAUACAGAGGGUGCGAGCGUUAAUCGGAUUUACUGGGCGUAAAGCGUGUGUAGGUGGCUCGCUAAGUCGAUUGUGAAAUCCCUGGGCUCAACCUGGGAAUUGCAGUCGAUACUGGCAAGCUCGAGUUCGGUAGAGGGCGGCGGAAUUCCCGGUGUAGCGGUGAAAUGCGUAGAUAUCGGGAGGAACAUCGAUGGCGAAAGCAACCGCCUGGGCCUGAACUGACACUGUGACACGAAAGCGUGGGGAGCAAACAGGAUUAGAUACCCUGGUAGUCCACGCCGUAAACGAUGGGAACCUGACGUCGGCCUGCUCUGCGGGUCGGUGUCGUAGCUAACGCGCUAAGUUCCCCGCCUGGGGAGUACGGCCGCAAGGUUGAAACUCAAAUGAAUUGACGGGG
RNAcentral lists this ribosomal RNA (914 nucleotides) under uncultured Gammaproteobacteria bacterium. RNAcentral's name for it is "bacterial SSU rRNA". It matches the Rfam family "Bacterial small subunit ribosomal RNA", at positions 8 to 918 of the family's 1533-position model. Lineage: Bacteria; Pseudomonadati; Pseudomonadota; Gammaproteobacteria. The record is from RNAcentral.